CACGCUUUACACGGAUCUGUUUUCCCGUGUGUCUGUCUGAUAUUUGUUUGAGUUGAGGGCAGGCCAUGAUAAAGAUGUUUGAAUCCAGACUCGCCUGAGGAUAAAGAAUGCUCCCACUGUUUCUUAUAGUGUCAACACAGGUUAUUUUUAUAUAUUUUUAGGAACGCUUGCAAACCAAUUGAUAGUUAUUUGCGAGAGUAUUGCACACAGCUGGUUCACCAUUUGCGUAUAGCAUACUAUAUAUCCAAACUAAAUCUGUUGUGGAUUUUUGUGGA
Acipenser ruthenus (sterlet) is the source of this 275-nucleotide long non-coding RNA. RefSeq lists it as uncharacterized. The transcript is spliced from 3 exons. NCBI's taxonomy places the organism in Eukaryota, Metazoa, Chordata, Actinopteri, Acipenseriformes, Acipenseridae. The record is from RefSeq and is a predicted model, not a curated record.